GCAUGUAAAACUUUUUAUUUUGCUGUAGAGCUUGAUUAGAAAUUGGAUAAUAAAAAGCAUCUUAUUAUUGACCUUUAUUUUAUUGAUUAAUUUUAUUAUUAUACAGGUGUAGAAUAUCACAAAUUUAGAAAAAAUUGAAAUAAUUAAAGCACUACUUGCAGUAGGGAGACAACAUUUGUAAUUUUUAUUUCAAUCAAACAAACAUUUUCAGCUAAUCGCCAUUGUCAGGUUCUAACAGAAUACUAUUUUUAAGUAUGAACAUAGAAUCAAACAUCAGAAUUUUUGUUUCUUUCAACAUAAAAUAAUUAUGAUCAAACCAUCAAUCAAAAAAUCAAACAAAAUAUGGGCUUUGCAGACAGCCUGUCAAAAAAGCUUAGAAUAAUACUAUUUUUAAUUAUAUACAGUAUAUUUGAAAGAUGUAUUGAAUGUUGUAUGUGGGUUUUCCUCAUACCAAAACAAGAAAAAUAAUUUAUAUGUGGAUGAAACAUAUUAAGAAGAUAAAGUGGCUCCUAAUAAAACAAAACAAGUUUGGAAGACCAAAUAAAUUGCCAUUAGAAGUGGUCACCAUCAUAAGUAAUAUCCACCUACCACCCUAUGUAACAGCCUACCACCCUAUGUAAAAAGGACCCUCAUGCAUGGUAGCAAAGAAAAGAACCAUCCUGGAUGAAAUACAAACCUUUGAACCGCUACUAGAAGGAAUAGAACUGUUGAAGGAGAAGUUAAGAUGGUGAUUCUUAGACCAGAUAAACAAAGCAGCGAAAAACAGCGAACCACGAUAUAAGAAGGAAACACCCAUAAAAGAAAUGAUAAACUGGCUGAAAAGCGAUGACUACAUAUUAAUGAAAGAGGACAAAACUAAGAUGGCAGUAAUUAUAAGCAAGCAAGAACACGAUCAGUUCCUCCUCAAGUACAUUCAAGAAUCAAAAGCCGAAAGUAUCAACAAGGACCCAAUCAGAAAACUAAUAGUGAAACUAAGGUAAAAUUAUAAAAAGCAAAAAGUUUCCAACCAUAUUCAAGCACAGUAAAGUGAAUGAAGUGUCAUGUCCUCAUUUGUUCACCUACAUGAAGACUCAUAAAGACCCAAUAGAGGCAAGACCAAUCGUAGAGAAAAGGCGUGUGCCAACAUAUAACAUCAAAGCCAAAUUAGUUAAAUGGUGCAAUAACAUUCUUAAAAAUUAUAAGCAUACAGUAGCAAGACCAAAUGAUGUUAUUAAAAGGCUCCAUCAAAAAGUACCAAGUAUCAACAAAAUACUAACAACAUAUGACUUUAGAAACUUAUACCCAUCAGUAAAACUGGAAGCAACAUGCCUGGAUUUUUAUCACUUCCUUCUGAAACAUGUGCCAAACUCAUAAAAUGCAGCACCGAAGUUAAGAGAAAUUGCACAUAUGAUAUGUUAUGACUCAUAUUUCUUCUUCAGAGGAAACUUCUAUAAGCAGAAGAAAGGAGUCCCUAUCGGAAGCUCCAUAGCGGGCAGAAAUCCUAAUUAGAGAAAUCAAGAAGGAAACAAUAAAAAACUUGCAACUAACCAAAUAUAUUAGAAUACAUGAGGUAUGUAGAUGACAUUUUUGUCGUAUGGAAACAAAAUGCUAAAACGGAAAUGCUAACACAACACUUGACCAAAGAACCAUUUGGCCUACAACUCAGGCAAGAACAAACUAGCGAGUCUAAAAUACAUUUUUUAGACAUUGAAAUAGAAGUGCUGCAGAGAGUUCACGAAACUAAAGUCUACAAAAAGCCCACAUACUGCCCUAUCAUUAUCCCAAAUUGGUCAGCAGACCUAGUGAAAUACA
RNAcentral lists this long non-coding RNA (1791 nucleotides) under Androctonus crassicauda. The record is from RNAcentral. Lineage: Eukaryota; Metazoa; Arthropoda; Arachnida; Scorpiones; Buthidae.